AGGAAACGUUACUCUUAAGGUUUAGUCUAAAUCCUUUUCUUGCAAUUUAAGGUUCAGAAGAAAAGCUAUUUGCUCCUUCUCACACACAGGCGAGUCCUUCAAAUAUUUGCACAUAAGCCUAUCACCCCUCAAUCAAGUCCUUUCUUUCCUGAAUCUAUUCCUCCAUCUUUACAGUACUGAGCGGAAAACCCACAGUGGGGUUGGAUCCCAUAGAUGUCCACAUGCAAGUUAUGCACUGACUGUGCUGUGUCCCCUUUCUGCUAAAAGUUUAGCCGCUCUCUUGCCUGAGUUUUGCAAGACCUUUUUUUCCUUCCAUUUCAAAGAUGGGAUCGAUCUCUUUAGGACUCCCUGGCAAUUGGACUCAUUAGGCGGCUCUGCGUUCUUGGAGCCUUAAUGAGAGAGAAGGAAGAAACCUUUCAAGAGGGAAAAUCCUUUGAGUCUGAGCAUUUCCAGCCAAAUAGAGAGGCAGAGAGACUGCAAGGAAUUAUGGAAAGAGCAAGGAGCUCCAACUUUCCUUUUUUCUCCCAAAGGGAUUUUCCAUGGACCCAGAGUGGCUUACUAUACAACUUAAAGCAAAAUAGCUAAAGCAAUAUACAUCCAAGAAAAACCCAUGACGGGUUCGCCUUCAAAUUGCCGUAAGUCGGAGACAACUUGAAGGCACAUAACGACAACAACAAAGUUGGAAAUGGCUUGCAGGCACACAAUGACAACAACAACACCAAGCCCAUUUCAUCCAGUAUAACCAUUGAACACUGCAAUCUGCAAAUACUGGUGCCAAAUCAAACAUCUUUAAGGCUCUGUAAGAUUCUUUAUUUUAAAAAAUACAGUUUACCAGAAUGUAAUUCCACUAAAUUAUGCCUGCCUUUGUUUUCUCUGUUGCAUUGACAAUGUGUAGAAGCAGCAGCCACACAAAGUAAGCUUGGAGAACAUGUUUAUCAGAAAUACUUUGG
Sceloporus undulatus (fence lizard) is the source of this 950-nucleotide long non-coding RNA. RefSeq lists it as uncharacterized. The record is from RefSeq and is a predicted model, not a curated record. Lineage: Eukaryota; Metazoa; Chordata; Lepidosauria; Squamata; Phrynosomatidae. The transcript is spliced from 3 exons.